This 210-nucleotide ribosomal RNA is filed under the name Panax sp. SKB-2015. RNAcentral describes it as "5.8S ribosomal RNA". The stretch from base 4 to 159 matches the Rfam family "5.8S ribosomal RNA". From Rfam's summary of the family: 5.8S ribosomal RNA (5.8S rRNA) is a component of the large subunit of the eukaryotic ribosome. It is transcribed by RNA polymerase I as part of the 45S precursor that also contains 18S and 28S rRNA. The record is from RNAcentral. Lineage: Eukaryota; Viridiplantae; Streptophyta; Magnoliopsida; Apiales; Araliaceae.
AACGACUCUCGGCAACGGAUAUCUCGGCUCUCGCAUCGAUGAAGAACGUAGCGAAAUGCGAUACUUGGUGUGAAUUGCAGAAUCCCGUGAACCAUCGAGUCUUUGAACGCAAGUUGCGCCCGAAGCCAUUAGGCCGAGGGCACGUCUGCCUGGGCGUCACGCAUCGCGUCGCCCCCCAACCCAUCACUCCCUCGCGGGAGUCGAGGCAGA